Ochotona princeps (American pika) is the source of this 109-nucleotide ribosomal RNA. The record is from Ensembl. Lineage: Eukaryota; Metazoa; Chordata; Mammalia; Lagomorpha; Ochotonidae.
GUCUACGGCCAUACCACCCUGAACGCGCCCGAUCUCAUCUGAUCUCAGAAGCUAAGCAGGGUCGGGCCUGGUUAGUACUUGGAUGGGAGAAAAGCAGGUACAGAGAGCA